CAAUCCCAAGCUUUCGACUUUCGAGUUUUAAUGGCUGUCAUGUUGCAGAUGAUCAUGGGAGAUCAAGAUCACUAUAGACUUACUCCCUCCCAUCUCAAGAAGUGACUCGUUAAAUCAAAUGACAUUCAAGGUACAAAUAGUUAGCAAACUUUGUUCGGAGAUCAUAUAAAGACUCAAAUUCAUUAGUUGUAUUGCAGUUGUUUGAUCCAGUUGAUCAUCAAGAGUUGAUCAGUAACCCGGAGUUCUUGAGGCUCCAAAAGAGGCUAGGGUUGUCUCACGAACAUAAGCAGAUGCGGAACAGGACUGAUACGAGAUAUCUUUACCAGAGCUUCCUAUCUACAGUUUGAUGAAUAAUCCUACAUCUUAUAUCCACCUAUCUACUUUACUCUACCAGUCAGCUUUUUAACAAGAAUCUACGGUGAUCUAGAGGGAUCUCACGGUGAUCUACAGUACACAGCUAGUCUGGAGAACCUCCCAGGCGGAAAGAAUCUGAGGACGACCGUACGUUCAUUUCUAUACCACGUACCACUGUUGCUCUUGAGGGAUUGUUUCCAGAUCAAUUCCAGAAGGUGAAUAUUAUCCCUGACUUCAAUAAAUUAUUCUAAAACGAAUAAGAUUGUUCUAAACCUGACUUUAAACCGAUUCAGGAGUAUCCUGAUCUAUGUGCGUUCAUCCUACGGAAUAAGGAAGAAUUGCAGUCCGCAGUGUUCACAGGACACAUUUAAAAGGAGAAGUUACACUGUACAUGGAGAACUUGAAACCUGAUAAACACUAAUUGAAGACAUUUGGAUCAGCGUGUGAGAAAACCAAACCGCCAUCAAAUCUUCACAGCUAGAUGAUCAAGAAAUAAAUUCUAAAACUAUA
Long non-coding RNA from Eurytemora carolleeae, 864 nucleotides. RefSeq lists it as uncharacterized. The transcript has 5 exons. The record is from RefSeq and is a predicted model, not a curated record. NCBI's taxonomy places the organism in Eukaryota, Metazoa, Arthropoda, Copepoda, Calanoida, Temoridae.